CUCCAGUUUACCGACUUUAAAACCGUGACUCGGGCUGUUCUGGGAUAAUUCUUUGACUGGACUGUGUUUGGACCGCUCUCUUCGCCUCUCUGUCUCCAAGCCCGACCCGGACUCCGCGACGACUUCUGUCUCUUCAGACCGCGAUGGCGGCGGCCCAGAGACUGACCAUUGAGGACAAGAAGAGGAAGAUCUUCAACUGAUGGGUUAUGGAUUAUGACGUCAAGGCCACAGAGGCGUUCUAUGAAGGGCACCAGAAAAAUCCAAAGAAUCCUACUGCGUUGUUCAAGAUGAGCUUAACGGGAGAGGCCGCGAGUGGGACUCGGAACACGCCAAUCCCGUCCCCUUGAUCAGGUCAUCGUGUUCGGGACCAGAUGGAGCAGGAGAACAUCGGUGACCUGGAGGCCAAAGUUCAGGCCCAGAAAGCGGCCAAAGAGGAGCCGGAAGCUGAAAGAGCGACACAAGAGAGACCUGCCGGAAACCACGCCUUGAGUGCUGGAUCCUCCUCCUCCGCUGCCGCCACCGGUCCGUGCGGAGGGGCCCCCGGGAAGCGGAUCGUCCGGAACCAGGCCCUGGACAUUGUGCCACGGGAAACGGUCAGCCAGGAGGACCAAGGCGGCCGAGGUGGAGCCGGGGGGGCUGGAGCGGUGUGCGGACUACGCCAGGGCAGGAGGCGCCGUCCUCUCGGGGGCGCAGGCAAGGCCCCUCCGUUUUAAAAUGUUUUAAUAAAUGAUGUUUCAUAUAUAUCUCUUUUAAAUUCGUCUUUUAACAAAUGAUGUUUUAAUUUAAUAAUGAUAAUGAUAAUAUCUGCCAUUUAAAAUAAUAUAUGUUUUAAAUGACAUUUUAUAUACAUAUAAUAAUAAUAAUAAUAAUAAUAAUAAUAAUAAUAAUAAUAAAACUAACAGAAAAGUGACCACUCUAAAACUGAAAAAAAAAAUGGGACUUACAGCUCUAACACAAACCCCUUUUAUUAUGGAUAAGAAAUCUGGGAAUAAAGAAAACCAUGACAACUAAACCUGCAAAUGAGAAGGGCAAACUGUAUUUAAAUGUUGAAUCAAGGUGUGUGGCAAUGAAAACCAAAUACAUAACAAAAGAGGAUCAAUGCAAGAUUUAUUGUGAUAACAAACAAGACGGUGAAAAGCAAUAGAUGAUGAUCAAAGUAGUGAACCUAUGUUGUGCAAAACAGAAUAUGAAAAAUAAUGUCUGAAGUAAGGCAAUUGAAUCCAAACCCAUGCCACCAACACAGAGGCAGGAAUAAUACAAUUUUAUUUCUACCCCUCCACCAUCUCCCCAAAGGGACUCAGGGCGGCUAACAAAAUACAGCAAAGUGCUCUAUAUAGACAAUCAUAAAUCUCAACGAUAAAACCAUAGGAUUACAAUAACACAUAUACAUAAUUACAAUGUAAAACAUUAAAAUUCAUAAAAUGUAUUCAUAGCUGCAGAUAAAAACAGCUCAGUGUUGACGUGAUGCCAACAGUAAGUCCUUUGCCUUUGAACAUCAUUUAUUACUACUCUAGAUUAGACAUUAAACCCCAUUUUGGGAUAAAACCAGGUCUAUACACCUCUCCCGUGUCAGCAGGUUUGACCCUUAUAGAUCUGUCCCUUUUUUUGCAAAAUAUUAUUUAUUUGCAGUAUUUAUAUUCCGCCCUUUCUUCUCACCCCAAAGGGGACUCAGGGUGGAUCACAAUGAACAUAUAUAUGGCAAACGUUCAAUGCUAUCAGACAAACAACAUACAGUAUAGACACACACAGAGGCAUUUAGCAUGUCCAGCUUCAUGAGGUAUGCUCGAUUCCAGCCAUAGGGGGAGCUGUUGGUUCACCGUCCACUAGUGACACCGAGUGCUGUACUUCCUCAUUCCUUUCCACUUGUUGCUGGCAGUUUUAUGGUGUUGUAAAUUAGUUAAAUUAGCCUCCCGCAUAAAGCGUACCUAAAUUUCCUAGUUGACAGAGGCAACUGUCUUUCGGGCUGCUUAAGUAAACAGUAAGCCAGGCUAUUUAAUGGUCGGGGGCUGCAAAAAUGAGAUAUGAAUAUAUGGCCUAUUGACAGACCCCACCUGGACAUGGAAAGCGCCUUAAAUGUAUAUUUAAAUGUAUAAUUAUGUAUAUUUUAAUGUAUAUUCUUAAUUUUAUUGUAAUUCUUAAUCUUGAUGGAUUUUUAGAUUUGGGGUGCUUUGAAUGCGAUUUCCUGCUUCUUAGCGGGGGGUUGGACUGGAUGGCCCAUGAGGCCUCUUCCAACUCUACUAUUCUAUGAUUCUAUGAUGAAAACUGUUUUUGAUGUGUAUGUUUAUAUUGUAAGCCACCCUGAGUCCUCUGAUGGGUGAGAAGGGCGGGGUAGGAGUGAUGUAAUAAAAUAAAAGUAAGUAAUAAACCCGA
This is a long non-coding RNA of Anolis carolinensis (green anole), 2370 nucleotides long. RefSeq lists it as uncharacterized. The transcript has 4 exons. The record is from RefSeq and is a predicted model, not a curated record. Lineage: Eukaryota; Metazoa; Chordata; Lepidosauria; Squamata; Anolidae.